This 208-nucleotide ribosomal RNA is filed under the name Thunnus alalunga (albacore). RNAcentral describes it as "partial 12S ribosomal RNA". It matches the Rfam family "Bacterial small subunit ribosomal RNA", at positions 769 to 1010 of the family's 1533-position model. Lineage: Eukaryota; Metazoa; Chordata; Actinopteri; Scombriformes; Scombridae. The record is from RNAcentral.
AAACUAGGAUUAGAUACCCUAUUAUGCCUAGCCGUAAACAUUGAUAGAAUUUUACACCCUCUAUCCGCCUGGGUACUACGAGCAUUAGCUUGAAACCCAAAGGACUUGGCGGUACUUUAGAUCCCCCUAGAGGAGCCUGUUCUAUAACCGAUGACCCCCGUUCAACCUCACCCUCCCUUGUUUCUCCCGCCUAUAUACCGCCGUCGUC